AGAGGAGGGAAGUUCAACCAGCAGGUAAAAAUUAGUGGAAGGUACACAGAUAUAUUUUAGUAAGCCCAGGCUGCUUAACACCACUGUCUGGUGACAUAUAGGCUGAUUUGGCAGAAACACAAUAAUACUUAUGGAGAAGAUGAAACAUUAGAACAUGUUUUAUUACCGUUUCAAAACGUCAGUAGAGUGAAAGUUAAAAUGGAUUUUAACACUGAGAGCUUUAUGAACUAAUAGGAGGAUCAUAAAAGUAAACUGAAAGUAAAUUGAACUGGGAGCCAAUGAAGUGACUUCAGUGCUGCUUAAAUAUGUUUAAUUUCCUAUGUUUGUUUAAGGAGACUGCUUUAAGGAGGCUGAACUAUUUUUUUCUUCUUGAGGUAAGGCACCACUCCCUACCAGUUGGUUAAAAGCAAGCAGAAAAGCCUGUUUGGUAGGAUUUGUAUGCAAGAACGAAAAGGAGGAAGACACACUAUGAUAUUCACUUCAGCUAAUGACAGAGAACCUGAAGUCUCUUAAUGUUCGAACAAUGAUAAAUAUAACUCUAAGAAAACGCUACUUCCAGAUGAAGAGAGUCAACUUUUCGGAUAACAUUGAGAAAUCAUGAAGUUAUUUUUGUUGAUUGCCUUUUGCCACGGUUUAUUUGCAGUGAAACACUCACUGAAGAAUUUGGUCACCGGAUCCUAUGGCAUUCCAAUCAUUCCAGAUUUUGUGGGUGUGUUGUUAGUUGAUGACAUUCAGACAGGUUACUGUGACAGCAGUCAGAAAACAUUCAAAAUACAACACGACUGGGCAGAGGAAAUAUUAGAAAAUGACCCACAGCAGAAGGGCUACUAUAAUAUUAAAUGUUUUGAAGAUGAACCAAACAAGUUCAGACAGCUGAUUUCUAGUUUAAAGGGGGGAAGUGAAGGUUUCCACAUUUUACAGAGGAUAGAUGGCUGUGAAUUGGAUGAAAAUACUGGAGAAGUGGCUGGUGUGUUACAGUAUGGUCAUAAUGGAGAAGACUUUCUUAAAUUUGAUCUAAAA
Long non-coding RNA from Haplochromis burtoni (Burton's mouthbrooder), 1020 nucleotides. RefSeq annotates it as major histocompatibility complex class I-related gene protein. The annotation marks the transcript as partial. NCBI's taxonomy places the organism in Eukaryota, Metazoa, Chordata, Actinopteri, Cichliformes, Cichlidae. The record is from RefSeq and is a predicted model, not a curated record. The transcript is spliced from 3 exons.